Long non-coding RNA from Oreochromis aureus, 344 nucleotides. RefSeq lists it as uncharacterized. The transcript has 3 exons. NCBI's taxonomy places the organism in Eukaryota, Metazoa, Chordata, Actinopteri, Cichliformes, Cichlidae. The record is from RefSeq and is a predicted model, not a curated record.
AGUUUCACAAGCCAAUAGUUCGGCUGUUGCCUGUGCAAAGGCCAGACCAUGUGUGUGACUGCCCAGCAGGUAACGUUGAGGUUUCACCCGGCGCAAUUGUGGCUCUUGUAACCAUAAAUGGCUGUUAUAACCUUGCACUGCCAGUGGUGAGCUGCACCAGCUGUGACCUAAUGUGGUCCCCCUCAGUUAAGGACAUCCUGGGUAGUGGAUAUUGGCCUGGCACCUUAAAUUUCUGCACCCUGUUUUCAAUGGAUGUCUUUCUAUGACAUUAAGAAGGCUGGAUCAGGGAUGUCACUUAAGGCAUUUGUCAAAAUGCUGGAUGAAAGAACAGCCCAUUUUGGAAG